AGACUGCAUUUUGCCUUGCUUUUCCUUCUCCCUUUCUCUCUCUCUUUCUUUCUUUCUUUCUUUCUUUUCUUUCUUUCCUCUUUCUCUCUUUCCUUCUUUCUUUUUUUCUUCUUUCCUUCCUUCCUUCCUUCUUUCUUUUCUUUCUUUCCAUUUUUUUUUCCUCCAGAAGAAUGGAAACAGUAUUCUUUUCCGAUCAGUUCAGUAAUACAAUGUCCUUCAGUGUCCAUAUGAGCAUCUCAGUGGAGAAGAAAAGAAACUUUGCUACCUGGGAACUGAAGACUACUUAGUGAAGAUCCCGGUGUUACACAUCCAAUCGUUCACCUCCUUCCAAGACUAUGACAUUCCAGGAAACCUUCACUGCUAAGAGGAACUAAGAUCUAGAGUAUCUCCUCGAGGAAGUACAACUGUCUGUUUUCACUAAGGUGGGGAGCAGUAUGUGUCCAGAGCUCUAGAGGGACCGAAAGGCCAAGUGUCCACAGUGGCAAGAGAAUCCG
RNAcentral lists this long non-coding RNA (494 nucleotides) under Pan troglodytes (chimpanzee). Its description in RNAcentral is "lincRNA". Lineage: Eukaryota; Metazoa; Chordata; Mammalia; Primates; Hominidae. The record is from RNAcentral.